UUAUGGCCAUAUCAGGUUGAAACACCGGUUCUCGUACGAUCACCGAAGUUAAGCAACGUCGAGCCUGCUCAGUACCUAGAUAGGUGACCGCUUCAGAAUACCAGGUGCUAUAA
Acanthosepion pharaonis is the source of this 113-nucleotide non-coding RNA. The record is from the annotation of a GenBank genome assembly. Lineage: Eukaryota; Metazoa; Mollusca; Cephalopoda; Sepiida; Sepiidae.